Molecule: ribosomal RNA, 429 nt
Filed under: uncultured prokaryote
Description: bacterial SSU rRNA
Rfam family: Bacterial small subunit ribosomal RNA
Source: RNAcentral
UGGGGAAUAUUGGGCAAUGGGCGAAAGCCUGACCCAGCGACGCCGUGUGGGCGAUGAAGGCCUUCGGGUUGUAAAGCCCUGUGAGGUGGAAAGAAGGGCCUAGAGGUUAAUACCCUUUAGGCUUUGACGGUACCACCAGAGGAAGCACCGGCUAACUCCGUGCCAGCAGCCGCGGUAAUACGGAGGGUGCAAGCGUUGUUCGGAAUUACUGGGCGUAAAGGGCGCGUAGGUGGUUGUGUAAGUCAGAUGUGAAAUCCUUAGGCUUAACCUGAGAACUGCAUCUGAUACUGCAAGACUCGAGUACAGCAGAGGGGAACGGAAUUCCUGGUGUAGAGGUGAAAUUCGUAGAGAUCAGGAGGAACACCGGUGGCGAAGGCGGUUUCCUGUGCUGAUACUGACACUGAGGCGCGAAAGCGUGGGGAGCAAACA